AUGAGCGCUGGCGGCGUGCCUAAUACAUGCAAGUCGAGCGAACGGACGAGAAGCUUGCUUCUCUGAUGUUAGCGGCGGACGGGUGAGUAACACGUGGAUAACCUACCUAUAAGACUGGGAUAACUUCGGGAAACCGGAGCUAAUACCGGAUAAUAUUUUGAACCGCAUGGUUCAAAAGUGAAAGACGGUCUUGCUGUCACUUAUAGAUGGAUCCGCGCUGCAUUAGCUAGUUGGUAAGGUAACGGCUUACCAAGGCAACGACGCAUAGCCGACCUGAGAGGGUGAUCGGCCACACUGGAACUGAGACACGGUCCAGACUCCUACGGGAGGCAGCAGUAGGGAAUCUUCCGCAAUGGGCGAAAGCCUGACGGAGCAACGCCGCGUGAGUGAUGAAGGUCUUCGGAUCGUAAAACUCUGUUAUUAGGGAAGAACAUAUGUGUAAGUAACUGUGCACAUCUUGACGGUACCUAAUCAGAAAGCCACGGCUAACUACGU
RNAcentral lists this ribosomal RNA (495 nucleotides) under uncultured bacterium. Its description in RNAcentral is "partial 16S ribosomal RNA". It matches the Rfam family "Bacterial small subunit ribosomal RNA", at positions 29 to 506 of the family's 1533-position model. The record is from RNAcentral.